GCUCAGGAUGAACGCUAGCUACAGGCUUAACACAUGCAAGUCGAGGGGUAGCAGGGUAGCAAUACCGCUGACGACCGGCGCACGGGUGAGUAACACGUAUCCAACCUUCCCAUAACUCGGGGAUAGCCUUUCGAAAGAAAGAUUAAUACCCGAUAGUACUUUUUUAGGGCAUCUUAGAAAAGUUAAAGAUUUAUUGGUUAUGGAUGGGGAUGCGUUCCAUUAGAUAGUUGGUGAGGUAACGGCUCACCAAGUCUUCGAUGGAUAGGGGUUCUGAGAGGAAGGUCCCCCACAUUGGUACUGAGACACGGACCAAACUCCUACGGGAGGCAGCAGUGAGGAAUAUUGGUCAAUGGGCGAGAGCCUGAACCAGC
This 371-nucleotide ribosomal RNA is filed under the name uncultured Bacteroidales bacterium. Its description in RNAcentral is "bacterial SSU rRNA". It matches the Rfam family "Bacterial small subunit ribosomal RNA", at positions 22 to 392 of the family's 1533-position model. The record is from RNAcentral. Lineage: Bacteria; Pseudomonadati; Bacteroidota; Bacteroidia; Bacteroidales.